RNAcentral lists this ribosomal RNA (329 nucleotides) under uncultured eukaryote. Its description in RNAcentral is "partial 18S ribosomal RNA". It matches the Rfam family "Eukaryotic small subunit ribosomal RNA", at positions 1470 to 1796 of the family's 1831-position model. The record is from RNAcentral.
CCCUUAGAUGUUCUGGGCCGCACGCGCGCUACACUGAUGCAUUCAACGAGUCUAAAACCUGGUCUGAGAGGGCUGGGUAAUCUUUUGAAAGUGCAUCGUGAUUGGGAUAGAUGAUUGCAAUUCUUCAUCUUCAACGAGGAAUGCCUAGUAAACGCAAGUCAUCAGCUUGCAUUGAUUACGUCCCUGCCCUUUGUACACACCGCCCGUCGCUCCUACCGAUUGGACGAUCCGAUGAAAACUGUGGAUUGAGAGUCUGAGUGGGUUCGCCUACCUCAACUUUCGAGAAGCGGUUUAAAUCUUAUCGUUUAGAGGAAGGAGAAGUCGUAACA